UCCUUCACCCAGGAGAGGUCAGCUGGUGAAAAUCCAUUGGGAUUUUCCCAAAGUCGAACCCAACCCUCCAGCUCCACCGGAAACAUGUCAGAACACAUAAUUACACAACUUUGCGCACAUAAUAAUUAUGUGUAAAUAUACAAAUAUGCAUUACUCACUGGGGAGUUGCUCUGCAGAGGUUCCAGAGGUUCUGGUACAUGACUUAUGGAUGAGGACAUCUUUGGUGUGGACGAAGACUUCUUUAAUGAUGGUGUAUUUAGCCACCGGCUGACAGAGCUGUAGGCCUUCUGGAUGGAAUCCCUCUGGCUCACACUAAAAUCGUCUGGCCUGGCCUUCUGGACAGAGUAUUGGCUGUAGAGCUCCCACAUCUCCUGAAAGCCCACAUCAUUUGACACAAGCCUGUGAAAUGAAGCAUUCAGAUAUUGGCCAAAUGGCAGCACCAACUUCCCCAGACACUGUUGUCUUGAUGGUGCUGGAAUCCCUUCAGCACGAAGAGCUCUUUCAGCAUGGACAAGGGCAGUGGCCUUGUUCAGCAGGUGGCAGCCGUCUCUCCUUGUGGGCACAGGCCUCGUUUGUCGCCACCAAUAAGGCCUGUUGACGACCCUCUGGAGCAGUGGGGUUUUGAAGGCGGAUGACUGGAUUCGCCAUAUCAAGGGCACCUUUAAUUUGUGUUCCGAAGAUUAAUGAAGGUCUUACGGGUGUGGAACGGCAUGAGGGAUGCCACCAGCCAGGAAAGACCAUAUUAUCUACAAAGUGUAUAGGGUACAGUCUCGCUCUGGACCAAGGAGACGUCCGUGCAAAUUCAGGGUGUUUUGCCUGCGACUGAGACUAUACUCAAUUUGUGGGUAGUCAGGAGGAGACAGAGACUGCGCUGGAGGCAGCUCU
This is a long non-coding RNA of Megalobrama amblycephala (Wuchang bream), 885 nucleotides long. RefSeq lists it as uncharacterized. Lineage: Eukaryota; Metazoa; Chordata; Actinopteri; Cypriniformes; Xenocyprididae. The transcript is spliced from 5 exons. The record is from RefSeq and is a predicted model, not a curated record.